CCGGCGACCGGCGGACGGGUGCGUAACGCGUAUGUAACCUACCUUUGACAGGGGGAUAACAUCGAGAAAUUGGUACUAAUACCCCAUAACAUCACCGGAGGCAUCUUCGGUGGUUGAAAACUCAGGUGGUCAGAGAUGGACAUGCGUUGUAUUAGCUAGUUGGUGAGGUAACGGCUCACCAAGGCGACGAUGUCUAGGGGUUCUGAGAGGAAGGUCCCCCCACACUGGUACUGAGACACGGACCAGACUCCUACGGGAGGCAGCAG
Molecule: ribosomal RNA, 266 nt
Filed under: uncultured bacterium
Lineage: Bacteria
Description: partial 16S ribosomal RNA
Rfam family: Bacterial small subunit ribosomal RNA
Source: RNAcentral